ACUCCUGGCUAUGUGCAGGAGUUGCAGUAUCUGAACAGAGCACUUGCUGGCCUGAACCAGAGGAGCAAGGAAGGUGCUCCUGGCUGAUGCCUGGGACUCAAACAAGAAUUCAGAUAAGGGUGAAGCUGAAAGUGCUGGGACUAAGAAGGGAAGUGGCCCAGGGAAACAUAGCAGCAGACUGUGUGUGACUCAGCUGGAGGGCCAGGUCACCGAAAACCUGCUUGAGAAGUUUAACUAUCAACAGGGGUCACUGCAAGCAGAGCAAAAGUGAGAGAGUGCAGGUGCAGACACACCUGGCCAGCAGGGGCACUCACUUGAGUAAGAAGAAAAAAAUUGGAAAAGAAAGGCCUAAUGAAAGUGGAGAGUAAUGGUGCCAGACAUAGGAUGUGACCUGUCAAAGUACUGAUUUCUGGAGAAAGCUGUAGGGAUCUUAGCCCAGUUGGCAGCUACUGUUGAAGCUUCUUA
Mauremys mutica (yellowpond turtle) is the source of this 465-nucleotide long non-coding RNA. RefSeq lists it as uncharacterized. The transcript has 3 exons. Lineage: Eukaryota; Metazoa; Chordata; Testudines; Geoemydidae. The record is from RefSeq and is a predicted model, not a curated record.